Molecule: transfer RNA, 74 nt
Filed under: Bacteroidota bacterium
Lineage: Bacteria; Pseudomonadati; Bacteroidota
Also listed under: 3 other names
Description: tRNA-Asn
Rfam family: tRNA
About the family: Transfer RNA (tRNA) molecules are approximately 80 nucleotides in length.
Source: RNAcentral
UCCUCCUUAGCUCAGUUGGUUAGAGCAUCUGACUGUUAAUCAGAGGGUCAUCCGUUCAAGUCGGAUAGGGGGAG